Molecule: long non-coding RNA, 1527 nt
Filed under: Homo sapiens (human)
Lineage: Eukaryota; Metazoa; Chordata; Mammalia; Primates; Hominidae
Description: HSALNT0185317
Source: RNAcentral
CCGGGAGGCGGAACUUGGAGUGAGCCGAGAUCACGCCACUGCACUCCAGCCUGGGCAACAGAGCAAGACUCCGUCUCAAAAAGAAAAGAAAAAAAAGUAUAAAAAUGCCCUUUGAGCACUUGCGUGUGUUUCUCACAAACCUCCCAACAAUAAUUUGAUGACUUAAUAACUGUUACUAAAAUGAAUCCUAGAGUACAUGUGUGGGACAGAGGUUACUAGGGAGAUUAUAGAUAACUCACAGCUUAUGUUCACAAUUUCAAAGAACUCUCAACAGGACCAACAUACCUGAGAUGAUAGCCUGUUGAUCUAACUGUUUAAGGAGAAUGUUUCUGAUGUCCAUUUCCCCAGCCAGGGAGAAAAUGUAAGCCAACAGGGCCUGUGUGUAGAGGUUGGUCGUGGAGGUGGCCGAAUUCUUGAGACACCGUAGACCCUGACUCACCAUUGGGUCCUAAAAAGUGAAGAUGAAGACUAUAACUUAUAAGGCAUUCCUUUAAAAAUGGCAAGUAAUCAGGAAAUCAUCUUAUCCUUCUUGACCUUAAAAGGGUGACUAGAGACAAAGAUGGGUGAAUGUCUCUAGGAAUACGCAUGAGAAGGAGGGUAUCAAGAGCAGGAGCCAGGAGAACUUACAUCUACAUCCUUUCCCAUCUCCAGCAAUGCAGCUGUGACAUACGCAGUCAAGGAGACCUCAUCAUCAACACCACCCUAGAGGCAAACAGGGAGGCAGUGAGUCAGGGCAGCAGGCAGCAGCUGCAAGAAUUAUGUGCAGAUUGCAAAACAGCCUCCCCUCUGAAUAGAUGAAUAAUUUUUAAAAAGAAAAAAGAAAAGAAAGCUCUUUUUUCCACAGGCUUUCUGCAGCUCCAAGCCUCCAGGACACACAAAGAGGGAACAGUUUGGACUUCAUAACUGCACAGCCUUAAACAGCCUGCAGGAGGCAGCAUGUGGACUUCAGCUGAGUGGGUAUUUAAGAAACCCAAGAGAAGGAGUUAGGAAGGGUAAGAGCUUUAAAGAAGGGAGGAAUAAGGAGAGAAUCUGCCGCAUCACCGCAUCUGAGCCUCCUCACAUGCAGCUCCCCUCAAGCAGCACAAUACCCAGCCCUUCUCCAGCAGAGAUUAGACAUGAAAACUGAGGCCCAGACCAGCUAAGCAUUUUGAUCACGGUCACCCAGAGCCACAGUGGAGAUCAGGAGAAAACUGAUUCCCAGGCCAGUGCUCUUUUGCUUCUACUCGGUCAGAGGUGUGGGGUCCUUCGAGACAGUGGUUGGCUGCAGGCUCCUGGACAGAUCCGCACCUUCAUAGCUGUGUGAAGGAGAUUUCCCACGUUGGCAUAGCAGCCACUGGGGAGCUGGUUUCCUGCCAUCCACUUGAGAGCAUCCUGGAUGUUCUUGGGAUCAAUGAAGAUGAAUUUCUGAGCUUGGCCAAAGCAUUUUGUGACAAACGCUGUCAGCCUACAUGGGUAAAGAGGAAAAUAUGGCAUGAAGAGGAAUUUCCAGGAAACCCACUGCCCGAGACCUGAUCUCCUCCGUCAGCA